UGUAUACGGAUCGCAUGGUCUGUAUACCAAAGAUUUUAUCGCUGAAAGAUGGGCUCGCGUAUGAUUAGAUAGUUGGUGAGGUAACGGCUCACCAAGUCGACGAUCAUUUAGCCGGACUGAGAGGUUGAACGGCCACAUUGGGACUGAGACACGGCCCAGACUCCUACGGGAGGCAGCAGUGAGGAAUAUUGGGCAAUGGGCGCAAGCCUGACCCAGCAAUGCCGCGUGAAGGAUGAAGGUUUUCGGAUUGUAAACUUCUUUUGUCAAGGACGAUAAUGACGGUACUUGACGAAUAAGCCACGGCUAACUACGUG
This 314-nucleotide ribosomal RNA is filed under the name uncultured bacterium. RNAcentral's name for it is "bacterial SSU rRNA". It matches the Rfam family "Bacterial small subunit ribosomal RNA", at positions 173 to 507 of the family's 1533-position model. The record is from RNAcentral.